GUGCGUGUGCGUGAUUAUAAAUAUUGAUAUUGUACUCAUGCAGAGUCCUCCUCACCCCCAGUCACGAAGGCAUCAAAAAGAGUCCUGCCGAAAGGAAAAUCAAGCUUGUCCUGAUUCUUCUGUUCGCCUUCCUGACCAUUCUCCUGGCCGCGCUGUGCUACGCCCUGUUCAACUUUCUCACAGCGGCACCCGAGCCAAACACUCGUGCGCCCUGGGUCGUCACCGCUGAGGGAGAGAUCGACGACGGCGACGAGACUUCCACAGAGGAAGCAACUUCUGAGGGGAGUCAGGUGGACCCUGUGUCUCCUACGGUCACCGUGCCUGCGGUUAGCCGUACUACUUCAUCUAUCGGUGAGGAAGUGACUCCGGAUGACUCGAUGAGUGCUACGACUCCACAGGCCUACGACAACGAGCCUUCCUUUCCUGACCGGAACAGUGACUUGACCACGGCGGGCACCACGACCACGGGUACGACUUGGUGGACUGCUCUUGCGACUCCCGAACUUAGCACCGCCGCUACAAAAGCCGGCGUGUCCUUGACGGCUACGCCGACACGCGUUGUUACCGAGAAAAACAGAACGACAACUGCCAGCAUGUCUAUGACUACGUGGCCAGGUGCCGCGACUCCGAGGCUUAAGA
Molecule: long non-coding RNA, 639 nt
Organism: Dermacentor andersoni
Lineage: Eukaryota; Metazoa; Arthropoda; Arachnida; Ixodida; Ixodidae
Source: RefSeq, a predicted model, not a curated record